GAUGAAGAACGCAGCGAAAGGCGAUAAGUAAUGUGAAUUGCAGAAUUCAGUGAAUCAUCGAAUCUUUGAACGCACAUUGCGCCCUCUGGUAUUCCGGGGGGCAUGCCUGUUCGAGCGUCAUUAUAACCACUCAAGCUCUCGCUUGGUAUUGGGGUUCGCGGUUCCGCGGCCCCUAAAAUCAGUGGCGGUGCCUGUCGGCUCUACGCGUAGUAAUACUCCUCGCGAUUGAGUCCGGUAGGUCUACUUGCCAGCAACCCCCAAUUUUUACAGGUUGACCUCGGAUCAGGUAGGGAUACCCGCUGAACUUAAGCAUAUCAAUAAGCGGAGGA
This 329-nucleotide unclassified non-coding RNA is filed under the name soil metagenome. Its description in RNAcentral is "partial contains 5.8S ribosomal RNA, internal transcribed spacer 2, and large subunit ribosomal RNA". The stretch from base 1 to 120 matches the Rfam family "5.8S ribosomal RNA", at positions 35 to 154 of the family's 154-position model. The record is from RNAcentral.